UACGCACGCGCGUCCUCGGUUACGCACGGUUACGCACACACGUCCUCGGUUGCGCGCCGUUGCGGCGGGGACGGAAGUUACCAACGGCCAGCUGGGUUGCCUGGUGCUGCGGUGCAGCUAACAGACUUGGCCCAGCACUGAGCCAGGGCCACCAAGUAUUCUAGUUGUUUGUCACAUUGAUUGGCCACAGAUCAGGUUGUUCAGAAAUCAGGCUGAAUGACUGGAACUUCCCAUGGACAAGGUUCAAUAAAGGUUAUUAUUUCCGAGAUUGCCACAAUUCUUAGUCCAACACCACUGUUGAAUCUUGGGUAAGGGUUCCCAGAUGUUGGUGAACUAUGACUCUCACCAUCCUCCAACAUAGAAGCAAGGGAUGCUUUAACUGAUUUCAUCUUGCAAUGACGUUGCUUCCUGUGCUGUCUGUCUACACUCUCACAUAUUGGUAUAAGUGAUUAUGCUCCUGAUUCUUACACAAGGUUCAGCUGCAACAAAACAGAACAGUGCAUUCUCUUCCUUGGUUAGUUCCAGGUUGGUUCUUGUAACAAAAGUCAUUUAAACAAACGCCAGCAGCUAAGGGACAUUUGCUGGAUGUAUUUCAUUUCAAACACAAGAUCAAUGCAAAGCAUGUGAGGUUCUAUGAUUAAAAUUCAGAAUUUGUAAAAAUGUAUCAUAUUGUUAGUAACGUGUAAAACCUCAGAACACAGAAAAAGCACUGGAAUCAAAGCUAAAGAUGUUGUACAGCUUUAAUACAAUUAGGGCUUCUUUAAUAACUCUGCAAACUUGCACCAGGGCAGAAGCCUAUAGCAACCAAUCAGUAAUAAGCUUUGAUCAGUAUGUUGCAUGAAGCAUAUUAAAAGAACAGCUAUGCUAUGUGAUUUGCCCUGUGUGAGUAGUCCCUGCUUAGCACAUAAAAUGCCAAUAUCUAAUCAAGCCAUCAUACAGUAUUUUGGUGCACACACUGAUCUGUCUAAUUGUAAGGACCUAAGGGGUCUGAAAUAUAGUUUAAGCCUGUGUGCUGUAAUGCUUUUACAAACUUUACUGAGAAUAAAAGCGAUGCUUUAUUGAUUGGA
Xenopus laevis (African clawed frog) is the source of this 1067-nucleotide long non-coding RNA. RefSeq lists it as uncharacterized. The transcript is spliced from 4 exons. The record is from RefSeq and is a predicted model, not a curated record. NCBI's taxonomy places the organism in Eukaryota, Metazoa, Chordata, Amphibia, Anura, Pipidae.